GAUGAACGCUGGCGGCGUGCCUAAUACAUGCAAGUCGAGCGAACAGACGAGGAGCUUGCUCCUCUGACGUUAGCGGCGGACGGGUGAGUAACACGUGGAUAACCUACCUAUAAGACUGGGAUAACUUCGGGAAACUGGAGCUAAUACCGGAUAAUAUAUUGAACCGCAUGGUUCAAUAGUGAAAGACGGUUUUGCUGUCACUUCUAGAUGGAUCCGCGCCGCAUUAGCUAGUUGGUAAGGUAACGGCUUACCAAGGCAACGAUGCGUAGCCGACCUGAGAGGGUGAUCGGCCACACUGGAACUGAGACACGGUCCAGGCUCCUACGGGAGGCAGCAGUAGGGAAUCCUCCGCAAUGGGCGAAAGCUUGACGGAGCAACGCCGCGUGAGUGAUGAAGGUCUUCGGAUCGUAAAACUCUGUUAUUAGGGAAGAACAAAUGUGUAAGUAACUAUGCACGUCUUGACGGUACCUAAUCAGAAAGCCACGGCUAACUACGUG
This 497-nucleotide ribosomal RNA is filed under the name uncultured bacterium. Its description in RNAcentral is "partial 16S ribosomal RNA". It matches the Rfam family "Bacterial small subunit ribosomal RNA", at positions 28 to 507 of the family's 1533-position model. The record is from RNAcentral.